AACGUAGGAGACGAACGUUAUCCGGAGUUACUGGGCGUAAAGGGCGUGCAGGCGGUCUGAUAAGUUCGGCGUGAAAUAUUCCGGCUUAACCGGGAUAGGUCGUCGGAGACUGUCGGACUAGAGGGUGAUAGAGGCGUGUGGAAUUCCGGGAGUAGUGGUGAAAUGCGUAGAGAUCCGGAGGAACACCAGUGGCGAAGGCGACACGCUGGGUCACACCUGACGCUAAAGCGCGACAGCAUGGGGAGCGAACGGG
Molecule: ribosomal RNA, 253 nt
Filed under: uncultured bacterium
Lineage: Bacteria
Description: partial 16S ribosomal RNA
Rfam family: Bacterial small subunit ribosomal RNA
Source: RNAcentral